This 164-nucleotide ribosomal RNA is filed under the name Roscoea humeana. Its description in RNAcentral is "5.8S ribosomal RNA". It matches the Rfam family "5.8S ribosomal RNA". Rfam says of the family: 5.8S ribosomal RNA (5.8S rRNA) is a component of the large subunit of the eukaryotic ribosome. It is transcribed by RNA polymerase I as part of the 45S precursor that also contains 18S and 28S rRNA. The record is from RNAcentral. Lineage: Eukaryota; Viridiplantae; Streptophyta; Magnoliopsida; Zingiberales; Zingiberaceae.
CAAAUGACUCUCGGCAAUGGAUAUCUCGGCUCUUGCAUCGAUGGAGAAGUAGUGAAAUGCGAUACUUGGUGUGAAUUGCAGAAUUUCGUGAACCAUUGAGUYUUUGAACGCAAGUUGUGCCCGAGGCCUUGUGGCCGAGGGCAAGCCUGCUUGGGCGUCAUGAC